GAUGAACGCUAGCGGCAGGCCUAAUACAUGCAAGUCGGACGGGAUCCAUUGAUAGCUUGCUAUCAAUGGUGAGAGUGGCGCACGGGUGCGUAACGCGUGAGCAACCUGCCUCCAUCAGGGGGAUAGCCUCUCGAAAGAGAGAUUAACACCGCAUAAUAUCAACAGUUCGCAUGUUCAGUUGAUUAAAUAUUUAUAGGAUGGAGAUGGGCUCGCGUGACAUUAGCUAGUUGGUAGGGUAACGGCUUACCAAGGCGACGAUGUCUAGGGGCUCUGAGAGGAGAAUCCCCCACACUGGUACUGGGACCCGGACCAGACUCCUACGGGAGGCAGCAGUAAGGAAUAUUGGUCAAUGGGCGGAAGCCUGAACCAGCCAUGCCGCGUGCAGGAUGACUGCCCUAUGGGUUGUAAACUGCUUUUGUCCAGGAAUAAACCUAAAUACGAGUAUUUAGCUGAAUGUACUGGAAGAAUAAGGAUCGGCUAACUCCGUG
Molecule: ribosomal RNA, 488 nt
Filed under: uncultured bacterium
Lineage: Bacteria
Description: partial 16S ribosomal RNA
Rfam family: Bacterial small subunit ribosomal RNA
Source: RNAcentral